UUGCCCAGAUGAGGAGGUGGUGACAAUGAAAUGCGACUGUUGUGAUGCAGUGAUUGUUGGGUCGGUCACCAGGGGCUGCAGCAUUUCACACCAGGAUGUCGCCCAGAGCACAUGGCUGCUGCCUGUUGGUCUGAGUACAGGGACCGGGGUGAUAGAGUUGGAACUUCUCGGACCAACCUGCUUCCAUUGCUAAAGAAGGGAACGUGACUAAGGAAGCCACUUAUACCUACGAGAUUGGUAAGAAAACAGCUGAUUGUAAGGAGAGAAAAAGGAUAAAGCAGUACAGCCAUUUGUUCUCUGACAAAAAUACUCUGUCAAACAUUGAUCUUUGCAGCAGGUCAUAUUUUGAGAUGCAAGGAUGACAGAUGGCUGUAGGAUACAGGAAGGAAUUAGCGGAUCCAUCCCUUUAAGGAGGUAAGAAAUACAAUACGCCAUUGCCCAAACAAACAGUCAAUGGUUCUGGUCAUACUUUCAGGUGGAAGAAAUGUAACUGAUGAAAUAGUCACCUCUCGAAAGGGCAGAAGAAGUUGCUGUCCUGAAUAAAGCAAUAAAAAAGUGGGAGUUACCUGUUCAGAGGUAAGGAAAGUCGGUAAUUCUAACCGAUGAUCAUGACAUCUGCUCUUUUCUCCUUCCUGGCUAAUGGUUGGUUGUUCCGACAAGGAUGUAUCACAGAAAAUGUGCAACUAACCAGAGUGUGAAGAUGAGCAUUUAUCCUGCUCUUACAUUUGCAGAGAUGAGUUGUCCAGCUGAUUCUCUUUGUGAAGAAUUGAUCAUUGUUGCUUAUUUAUCAAAUGUGAAGAAGAAGUCAGGGGAAUUGAUCAUUUCUAUCAAGAGGUAAGGAACGCACCUCCUCUCAGCACAGGGGUAGGAAUAGCUGGCUCUAUUUCUAUUUUCAGGUGAAAUGAAGGUCUGACCAUUAAGGGGGGAGAAGAGAAGAUAAGAGGUUGCUGAAUUUAAUAGACAGGUAACACUACCUGGCCAGGGGGAAGAAAAGAAUCUUUUACUUCUAGCUCAGAAAGAGGAAAGCAGCCAAUUAUACGCUUCAGGUUGUAGCCAGUGUAGCUGGCUGUACCUCGAAGAAUCAAAGCCUUGGGGUGAAACAUCACUGACAAGUAGGUGAGCACUGGAAAGUCUGUAGAAGCCUAACGAUCUGGAUGCUAAGGAACCGUUUCUAUUGACGACUCUUCAUAACUGGUAAUGAAUAAUAAUAAAUAAUUGUCAGGUUUUGCUAAUUGGAGAUAUGAACAGACCAGGUGGCCAUUCCUACCAGGGAGAAGUGAGGGUAAGUGGCUGUCCCGGGCAAGGAGGUAAGAAAUACCAGUCUCCAAACAUCCAUGUGUAUAUCAAGUGGUGUGGAGUUUACUUUCAGGGAGAAGAACUGUGGUGGACCUUACUUGUCAUGGGGAGAGUGUGAAAAGCAGAGGCAAGACAAAGCAACAUGCACUUGCCAGCUGCUCAAUCCAUGGAGGACUCCAAUGAGAAGACGUUGUUAUUUCAAGGAACAACAAACAGAAAACAAGCAAUCACUUCAAAUAGUUCAGCUAGUUGCAAAUCUGAAUAUGAGGCAAGUCAGCAGAACACAGACAUGGAGAUGAGAGAAAUGCAGCUGAUUUGAACUUUGAGGGUGUGAAAACUUCAGGAAGUUGCGAGAAGAUCUGAGAUAUCUGCAGGAAGGAAACCAGUGAAACUCAUCACUGCUGCCAAGAGGUAAGGAACUCACCUCAUAAUGGAGAAAUUAAUGGAUCUGGUUUCCCUUCAGGUGAAAGAAAUGCAGCUGAUCUGAUCUCCCAGGGGUUGAGGACUAUAAGCAGUCAUGUUACUGAAGAAUACAGGAACACAUGUUCCCGGACCUGCAGAGAGGGAAAAAAGUUGCCUUCCUUGACUAGAAUGGGAAGACAAUCCCUUAUCACCGUCAUGUUUCAAACCCACAAUGCAGGAGACUGUCACUGACAGAGGAGAAGAUUUACACAUACUCAGGAUUUGAGCACAAAGGAAUAGGAAUGGAGCUGAAUAGAUCCAACACCUGAAAGGACAAUUGGAGCUCCUAAGAUAUGAAACCAUGAAAAAGACCCUUCAUUCAAUAAAGCAACAGUACAGGCUCUGAGGAGAGGUAGGCAGCAUUUGGUAAGUCUACCAAAUGAGCAUACAAUCAACUCUACAAAGUUGCUAACUUAUGUUGUGUCAAAGGGUUUGUUACAGCUGAUCACACAUCUCAGCAUCAAAGAGGAGCUCAGGGGAAUGGCAGACCUCAGGGGAUUCAUCUUUAUCAGGAGGUGAUGAACCUGCUUGUCACUUCUGAGUGACAUCCGUGGCUUUGGUUAGACUUUCAGAUGAAAGAAACACAGCCAGUGUGGUCAGUAUUCAAGAAAUAAUGUUCAAAAGUUGCCUGGGGUCACCUCUUGGGCUAAGGGGAGCAGCUGGUCCCAUCUGCUGGGAUGGAAGCAAAGAAGAAAGCACUAGCCACUGGUUAGUACUGGGACACAGACAAUAUCCUGGAGGGGCCUGGGACAGGGUGUGUAACCACAGUGACCAGUGGGUCCUUUCCCCACUGUGGUCCUGGCUCGCAUGCACAGGGUGAAACUGAUCGCCAUGUUUGGGGUCAGGAAGGAAUUUUCCUCCAGGGCAGAUUGGCCAGAGACCCUGGAGGUUUUUCGCCUUCCUCUGGGGCAUCGAGCAGGGACCAGCCCUUUGGGCCAUUUAGAAACUGACAAUAAAAUACA
Molecule: non-coding RNA, 2720 nt
Organism: Caretta caretta (loggerhead turtle)
Lineage: Eukaryota; Metazoa; Chordata; Testudines; Cheloniidae
Source: RefSeq, a predicted model, not a curated record